CACGUAGGGCGCAAGCGUUGUCCGGAAUUAUUGGGCGUAAAGAACUCGUAGGCGGUCUGUUGCGUCCGCUGUGAAAACUCGGGGCUUAACCCCGAGCCUGCAGUGGAUACGGGCAGACUAGAGGUAGGUAGGGGAGAAUGGAAUUCCCGGUGUAGCGGUGAAAUGCGCAGAUAUCGGGAGGAACACCGGUGGCGAAGGCGGUUCUCUGGGCCUUACCUGACGCUGAUGCGCGAAAGCGUGGGGAGCAAACGGG
RNAcentral lists this ribosomal RNA (253 nucleotides) under uncultured bacterium. RNAcentral's name for it is "partial 16S ribosomal RNA". It matches the Rfam family "Bacterial small subunit ribosomal RNA", at positions 524 to 776 of the family's 1533-position model. The record is from RNAcentral.